CGCUUAACUGACUGAGCCAUCCAGACGCCCCUGUUGUCCCUGGCCCCAUACCCCCAUUCUGCCCUGGGAUUCCAGGCCCAAAACCCUCUGGCUUCUACCACUGAGAUUCGUGGCAGUCCCUGUCCUGCCUCAGCCACUCCUCCACUGUUGCCGGCAUCCUGGGUCGCUUGGCUGGCCCCAUCUCCACGAUGGGGGGGCUCCACACUUCCGCGAUGGUGGGAGUACCUGAGAGACCCCGUGUGCUGUGAGUGGCUGCCGGGGGAGAGCAGGACACUUGAAGCUUCGUCAAGGAAAAGUUCUCAUCAAUAAAUAUUUAUCGAGCUGACCUGUGGACACCUCUGAUGUCCAGGCACUAUUCCAGGUUCUCGGAACCUAGCAGUGAGCAAAAGAAGAAAUCGAAAUCCCUGUUUUGUUGUGCAUAAACUCUAGUGGAAAGACCCAGAAACAAGGAGCAAAGUGAAUACAGCUACAGCUACAGACACUGGAAAGUUCUGUGAGAGAAAACAGUGUGAAAGUUGUGAGUUGGUGAGGAGGAAGAUGGUUAGAUUAAAAGGUCAAUGACGGUGCUUUUUGAGCAUUUUCAUUUGAGCUGAGUCCAGGAUGACAAGAAGGAGCCAGCUAUUGAUUAUCCUGGUGAUAAUCUCUGGCUCUGGGGCGUUCAACCCUCUGCCUCUUUCGCAAGUACACCUGUGGAGCGGAACUCGCCCGGAGAGGAACGGUCACCCACGCUGACAGUCGUUGCCUGAAACACUGGACCACACCCCCUAAGGGGGCCGGACGCCGCGCGCUAACCACAGUGGCUCUCAAAAUGCGGUCCCCAGAGGGGCUGCCUCACCUGGCGGCCUGUUAGAAAUGCAGCUUCGCAGGCCCAGCCCCAGAUCCAAGGAGUCACCACUCUGGGGAGGAGCUCAGUGUUGGUUUCAACAAGCCUUGGAGGUGCUGCUGGCGCGCGCGGAGCCUGGGAGCCGCUGCCCUAGCCCCGCGGGGCGCUGCCAGGUGACUGCUUCCCGGUGUCCCCUCUCCCCCGAAACCCUCCUCCGCCCCGCCCUUUGCGGAUGACCUAACAUAUGUUCUUGAACAAACAAAGCAACUGAAAGUAAAAUUGCACAGACUCCCACUACCACAUUUCCUCACCUGCUGGCAGCUGUGCUAGAAUUUUCCAUCUUCCCACCCCGUUUUUGUAAAGGAACCUCCAUGUUGUGAUCUGUGACUGCUCCUUCUACUCAGCUCUGGUUCUCGUCCUCUCUUGCCUAUUCGAGGACAUUGCAAGUUAAAUGCCAGUGUUCUUGCCAUUACAUUCCAGUGGCAUAUACCUGUCCCUUUUUACUUUAUUUUUAUUUUUAUAUAUUUUAUUUUAUUAAGCACAUAUGUUUAAGUGUUUGAGUCAAUUAUAGAAUCAUGACAUUCUACUCCCAAAUAUUUCAGUAUAAAUAUUUUAAAAACAUUUGUAUGGACAACCAAAGUAAGAUUAUUAUGAUGAAUCAAAUGAGUAAUAAUUCCUUAAAUCUAAUUCAAAAUAUCUAGUUCAAAAUCAGAUGUCGUCCGUUGUCCUCCAAAAAUCCAUGCAACUGUUUUUUCAAAGCCAAGAUCCAUUCCAGGAGCUGGUGGUUUAUUCCUUGAUUUCUUUAACUCCAGGGUAGCCCUUCCUUUUCCUUAUCCUUUUUAAGGGAAAAGUCAGGGCUAGUUGUCCUGUCAAAUAAAUGUCCCACCUUCUGGAUAUUUUUGAUUGCUUCCUGAUGGUGACAUUUAGUUCAUCCUCUAUUUCUUGUAUUCCCUAUAAAAAUAAAUUAAAAGACUUGAUAGAUUUAACUUAAGCAUUUGCAAAGGGAUGUUGUGAUGAGCACUAGGUGAUGUAUUAAAUGUGUAUGUAUGCAUGCAUAUGUGUAAUGGGUAUGUGUAAUUUUACUUAAAAUUUUAUUAUAUAUAAAAACAAAAAAUGUAUGAAACAGCUCAACAGAUUGUUAUAAAAUGAUCACUCAUGUAAUUCCCAUCCUAAAUAAGAGAAAAAGACCUUUACUCCAGAAGCUCCUGAUACCAUGUCUCUCCCAAGUUACAGUCCUCCCCCUCUCCUGUUAUUCUAGAUGUACUCAUUAUUCUAACUUGUAUACUAUUUUUUGCCCUGGUCUUUCUUUAUGGUUUUUCCACCUUAUAAGGCAUUGUCAAACAAUAUAUGUGCAUUUUGCCUGAUUUUCAAGUUCUUAGUAAAUGACAACAUACACUAUGUAUUGUUUUGACUAUCUUCUUUUGCUCAAUAAAGUAAGAUUCAUCCAUA
This is a long non-coding RNA of Suricata suricatta (meerkat), 2272 nucleotides long. RefSeq lists it as uncharacterized. The transcript is spliced from 3 exons. NCBI's taxonomy places the organism in Eukaryota, Metazoa, Chordata, Mammalia, Carnivora, Herpestidae. The record is from RefSeq and is a predicted model, not a curated record.